GAUGAACGCUGGCGGCGUGCCUAAUACAUGCAAGUCGAGCGAACAGAUGAGGAGCUUGCUCCUCUGACGUUAGCGGCGGACGGGUGAGUAACACGUGGAUAACCUACCUAUAAGACUGGGAUAACUUCGGGAAACCGGAGCUAAUACCGGAUAAUAUAUUGAACCGCAUGGUUCAAUAGUGAAAGACGGUUUUGCUGUCACUUAUAGAUGGAUCCGCGCCGCAUUAGCUAGUUGGUAAGGUAACGGCUUACCAAGGCAACGAUGCGUAGCCGACCUGAAAGGGUGAUCGGCCACGCUGGAACUGAGACACGGCCCAGACUCCUACGGGAGGCAGCAGUAGGGAAUCUUCCGCAAUGGGCGAAAGCCUGACGGGGCAACGCCGCGUGAGUGAUGAAAGUCUUCGGAUCGUAAAACUCUGUUAUUAGGGAAGAACAAAUGUGUAAGUAACUAUGCACGUCUUGACGGUACCUAAUCAGAAAGCCACGGCUAACUACGU
RNAcentral lists this ribosomal RNA (496 nucleotides) under uncultured bacterium. RNAcentral's name for it is "partial 16S ribosomal RNA". It matches the Rfam family "Bacterial small subunit ribosomal RNA", at positions 28 to 506 of the family's 1533-position model. The record is from RNAcentral.